Molecule: ribosomal RNA, 253 nt
Filed under: uncultured bacterium
Lineage: Bacteria
Description: partial 16S ribosomal RNA
Rfam family: Bacterial small subunit ribosomal RNA
Source: RNAcentral
UACGAAGGGGGCGAGCGUUGUUCGGAUUUACUGGGCGUAAAGGGCGCGCAGGCGGCGUAUCAAGUCAGACGUGAAAGCCCCGGGCUUAACCUGGGAACUGCGUUUGGGACUGGUACGCUAGAGAUCGGGAGAGGAGAGUGGAAUUCCCAGUGUAGAGGUGAAAUUCGUAGAUAUUGGGAAGAACACCGGUGGCGAAGGCGGCUCUCUGGACCGAUACUGACGCUGAGGCGCGAAAGCGUGGGGAGCAAACAGG